This 213-nucleotide unclassified non-coding RNA is filed under the name plant metagenome. RNAcentral's name for it is "partial contains small subunit ribosomal RNA and internal transcribed spacer 1". The stretch from base 1 to 46 matches the Rfam family "Eukaryotic small subunit ribosomal RNA", at positions 1786 to 1831 of the family's 1831-position model. The record is from RNAcentral.
AAGUCGUAACAAGGUUUCCGUAGGUGAACCUGCGGAAGGAUCAUUACAGAGAACUUGCCCUUCGGGGUAGAUCUCCCACCCUUUGUUUACAUUACCCUUGUUGCUUUGGCAGGCCCGUCUCCCGGGACCGCCGGCUUCGGCUGGCCCGCGCCUGCCAGAGGAUCUCAAACUCUUGUUUAAAUUGUCGUCUGAGUAAUAUUUAAUAAGUUAAAA